UUGAAAACAAACUAAAAUGAGCGACAUGUCACUGAGUCCAUUAGCUCAAGCCACCUCAGACAGACCAUCAUGGGCCACCACGCCAGAAAUUAUUUUAGGCGUCGGUGGCCACCAGAAAUUCAAAUCAAACACCUCAUUGAAACCGUCUCAUCCUCCCUGAUCUGAAUCUUUAAUGAAUUUCAACCUAUACCACGCGUAGAACACUUACCGAAUCCAAACACUCCACACCCUAAGUCUUGAGAUACGAAUUGAACAACGAUCUGAAGGAAUUGAAGCUCCUCGUGUGAGGGCCCAAUUCUUCACCCUAAUAACUACAGGACUGUAAAUAAAAUCAAGAUGAAAUAAGGACUAAAUCUUACCAACGGAACGGAGGAGUGUCCCGGAUUUUGUUGAAAUAGAAGGGGACAAUAUUGAAUAAGAAAUCUAGAGAUUCUUCAGGUUUGCAUUACGAAUGUGUGUGUAGCUGCAAGUCUGAUGUGCUAUUGCUGCAAAUGAAUGUGAUUGUUGCAGCUGAAUGUUAUGCAGGCCUUGGUUGCUAAUUCAUUCAAAGUCUUGCGCUGCUAUGGUUUUGUAGGUGAAAAUGAGGUUUUGCAUUAAAGAACUUGGCUUGAAAUGGAAAUGGUGUAGCUUGCUCAUGAAGGAGUGUAAAAUUGUUGGGCAUUGCUGAUGUUUUGGAACCCAAGUAGGAAUGUCAUGAUAAAAAGGGCCAUGUGAUGUAUGCCAAAACAUGUAGUAUGCAAGCAAGUAUAGCAUUAGGAUUUUUCUUUGUAUGGACAUGAACACAUGUAAUGACAUGCAAAUAUUCAUGGAUGAAUGUUAUGGAAUGUAUGAUUGAAAAUUGGAAUUCAAGACUUUUAGAACAAUUGUGUUGACUUUGGUCAAGGUUGACCAAAAAGUCAACUGUAGACCAAAAUCAACCUUUGGUCAAA
Molecule: long non-coding RNA, 929 nt
Organism: Lathyrus oleraceus (garden pea)
Lineage: Eukaryota; Viridiplantae; Streptophyta; Magnoliopsida; Fabales; Fabaceae
Exons: 2
Source: RefSeq, a predicted model, not a curated record